This 312-nucleotide ribosomal RNA is filed under the name uncultured soil bacterium. RNAcentral describes it as "bacterial SSU rRNA". It matches the Rfam family "Bacterial small subunit ribosomal RNA", at positions 26 to 351 of the family's 1533-position model. The record is from RNAcentral.
AGGAUGAACGCUAGCGGCAGGCCUAAUACAUGCAAGUCAAGGGGGCAGCAAUGUCACCGGCGGACGGGUGCGUAACGCGUACACAACAUACCUUUAAGCGGGGCAUAGCAUUGGGAAACUGGUGGUAAUACCCCAUAACAUUGCGCUUCGGCAUUGAGGUGCAAUUAAAGUUACGGCGCUUAGAGAUUGGGUGUGCGUCUGAUUAGCUAGUUGGCGGGGUAAAGCCCACCAAGGCGACGAUCAGUAGGGGGUGUGAGAGCAUGACCCCCCACAUGGGUACUGAGACACGGACCCAACUCCUACGGGAGGCAG